Molecule: ribosomal RNA, 750 nt
Filed under: uncultured bacterium
Lineage: Bacteria
Description: bacterial SSU rRNA
Rfam family: Bacterial small subunit ribosomal RNA
Source: RNAcentral
GGGACAAAAAAAUGAAGUCAAACGACUUAACUCAUUCUUUUAUAUUGAGAGCGGUUAGUGGCGGACUGGUGAGCCAUUUAAAAGGAACCUGCCUUUUAGAGGGGAAUAACAAUGACCUAUCAUUGCUAAUACCGCAUAUGCCAUAAUUAUCACAUGAUAAUAGUGGGAAAGGAGCAAUUCGCUAAAAGAUGGCCUUGCGUCUGAUUAGAUAGUUGGUAAGGUAACGGCUUACCAAGUCGACGAUCAGUAGCCGGACUGAGAGGUUGAACGGCCACAUUGGGACUGAGAUACGGCCCAGACUCCUACGGGAGGCAGCAGUCGGGAAUAUUGCGCAAUGGAGGAAACUCUGACGCAGUGACGCCGCGUAUAGGAAGAAGGUUUUCGGAUUGUAAACUAUUGUCGUUAGGGAAGAGAAAGGACAGUACCUAAGGAGGAAGCUCCGGCUAACUACGUGCCAGCAGCCGCGGUAAUACGUAGGGAGCGAGCGUUAACCGGAAUUAUUGGGUGUAAAGGGUGCGUAGACGGGAAAGCAAGUUAGUUGUGAAAUCCCUCGGCUUAACUGAGGAACUGCAACUAAAACUACUUUUCUUGAGUGCAGGAGAGGUAAGUGGAAUUCCUAGUGUAGCGGUGAAAUGCGUAGAUAUUAGGAGGAACACCAGUGGCGAAGGCGACUUACUGGACUGUAACUGACGUUGAGGCACGAAAGUGUGGGGAGCAAACAGGAUUAAAUACCCUGGAAUUCCACACCGU